CCUACGGGGGGCAGCAGUGGGGAAUAUUGGACAAUGGGCGAAAGCCUGAUCCAGCCAUGCCGCGUGUGUGAAGAAGGCCUUCGGGUUGUAAAGCACUUUCAGUGGGGAAGAAAGCCUUGGGGCUAAUACCCUCGAGGAAGGACAUCACCCACAGAAGAAGCACCGGCUAACUCCGUGCCAGCAGCCGCGGUAAUACGGAGGGUGCGAGCGUUAAUCGGAAUUACUGGGCGUAAAGCGCGCGUAGGCGGUCUGAUAAGCCGGUUGUGAAAGCCCCGGGCUCAACCUGGGAACGGCAUCCGGAACCGUCAGGCUAGAGUGCAGGAGAGGAAGGUAGAAUUCCCGGUGUAGCGGUGAAAUGCGUAGAGAUCGGGAGGAAUACCAGUGGCGAAGGCGGCCUUCUGGACUGACACUGACGCUGAGGUGCGAAAGCGUGGGUAGCAAACAGGAUUAGAUACCCCUGUAGUC
This 465-nucleotide ribosomal RNA is filed under the name Vreelandella stevensii. Its description in RNAcentral is "partial 16S ribosomal RNA". It matches the Rfam family "Bacterial small subunit ribosomal RNA", at positions 338 to 795 of the family's 1533-position model. Lineage: Bacteria; Pseudomonadati; Pseudomonadota; Gammaproteobacteria; Oceanospirillales; Halomonadaceae. The record is from RNAcentral.